AUGUUGGAAGACCAGAGUCAGUCUGGUGGAAGUCCUCCAAUCGUCCAUAUGGCUGGCUGCGUUUUUCUACCACCAGAAACAUCGGGAAGAUUGCCCAUUAUUAAGGACCCAGAAAACAGAUGCAGUUGGAGAAGCUAUUCAAAUACAGAGAGCUGUGAAACCCUGUCUACAGAUGAAGAGAAAGGUCCCAAUGAAUGUCCCAAUAGAAUAAGGGUACAUCUUUAGCAAAUGUUUUUAACAAAAAUACAAUUAAUAGACAAUGUAUAAGCCUAUUACAACUGGAGUAGGCCAACCCUGCUGGGUGUGCAGGCUUCAGUUCUAGCCCAGCACUAACACACCUGAUUUGAUUUAUCCUACCUAAUUAGUUGAUAAUCAAGUGUGCUAUUGCUGGGUUGGAAAUGAAGUUUGCUCACCAGGUAGAUCAGGGAUCAGUGGAGCGAUGUUGGCUACCUCUGGCAUUGACUAGAGCUGUGUUCGAAUACCCAUACUAACAUACUGUAUACUUAAUGAGUAUAUACUACAUAAGUUUAUUUUAGUAUAAUGUAAAUGAACAGAAUGCUUUCAGUUGAGCGUACUAGCUCUUUGCCUGUACCGGAAGUAUAUGCUGUUGCUGUGCAACCUCUUGCUAGCUAGUUAGCAUAAAUCACUAGUUAGACAUUUUACGACUUCGGGUGUGUUCAUAAAUUCGAUGUGGAGUGCCAGAGUGAGCUCGUAAAGUUAAAUCAUUGUCCGUUUGUAAAUUCAGAGUGUUUCGCUCUCGGAGCACACACUGGACGAGUAGGGUUGAUUUGAGCGUUCUGACCUUACAACGGCACCCAAGCUAACGUUGGCUAUGAGACCACUCUGACCAUUUUACUCACCCUAGCAGAGUUGGUUAGGCAGUUUGUUAUCCAGAGCGUUGGUGACUAACUGUGCUGCUGGCAAAACUUUUAUGCCUUUUACAUAAAACCGGCCAAAUUCAACGGGUGUUGAACGCUCGUAAAUUCAUUAUUCUGCGCUCUGGUACACUCAGACGAGAAGAUAGCCAGAGAGAAUUUACGAAAGCACCCCAUUUUCUUCAAACGUGAAAACGAUGUGAAGCCACACCCAUUUCCUAAAUAAUUGCAUUAUGGGCCCUAAAGUACAGAAAUAUUGUCCUCUGCGUGUAUACUUCAUAUUUAGGCACAUUUAAAUACGACAUCAGGGAAUUCUUGGCAUACUAACUAUAAUCGAUACUAUGACCAAUAAGCAUACUAUAUACUCAAUUCAUGUCACAAAUAGUACAGUUAGUAUGCGUAUUCGAACACAGCUUUUGUUUACCUUAUGCUUCGUAUUAAUUGCCUACUUGUUACUGAGAUGUCGAACCUUUGAGUUAGCUUACUUGCACACUUUGAAAUUAUAUGUAAUAAAGUGUUGAUUCUUUGAAGGUAAGUGUAUUAUUAACUAUUAUUCAAGAUUAACUAGUCAAUGUUGAUUAAUAGUCAAAGAUCACAAUCCUGCAAUAAAGAGUGGAAGGAAUAUGUCUCAUGUGUUUGUGUUGUAUUCUCAAAUGAACAUUACCUUUUUGUUCAGUUGUAAGCUCUCCAAUUAGUUUUGUCACUCAGGAUGUCAGUCAUGCCCACUUCACAGCUGAUAAUGCCAUGCCACGCCACGCCAAUGCAGCAGUGGUUCCCAACUCCAGUCCUUGAGUCCCCUCAGCGGCAUACAUGUUAUAGCCCCAGACAAACAUACCCGAUUCAACUAAUUACUUGACAAGUUAAUUGGAGGGCCUGAUGAUUACUUGACAAGUUCAUUGGAGGCCCUGAUGAUUACUUGACAAGUUCAUUGGAGGCCCUGAUGAUUACUUGACAAGUUCAUUGGAGGGCCUGAUGAUUACUUGUCAAGUUCAUUGGAGGGCCUGGGGAUUACUUGACAAGUUCAUUGGAGGCCCUGAUGAUUACUUGACAAGUUCAUUGGAGGCCCUGAUGAUUACUUGACAAGUUGAAUCAGGCGUGCUUAUCCGGGGCUACAAUCAAAAUGUGUAGUGUUGGGGGUACUUGAAUACCAGAGUCGGGAACCACUGGCCUACAGUCUGACGGCAUUAGCCUUAUGGGCAUUUGCAAUGCACCCCAUGACAUUGUGCAUCUGAAGCAGAAAAUAGCUUACCUCACACAUUGUUUACAUAAUAAGUUGUUGAGCUAUAUGUUUUCAAUUAAAAAAACAAUACCAGUAGACAAUGUAUAUUAGGCUCAUCAUUAUACUAGAUCUUGUACAUUCCUUACACUGAUAUGAAAUUGUUUAGUGCAAAUCCAACCCCAGUGAAAUGUCAAAGCAGGAGAUUGGAUCCUUAGCAUAAAAACAGACACAACUACUUCUACAAAGUUCAAUGCCAGAUACUUUUCUCCCAGAAGGUCUGACUGGCACUUGGAGGUAUCUGACCUCAGGAUAAGACCCAGAUGGAGACAUUUAAAAUCACAGAAGUUUAUAAACAAUAUGGGGAAGGCAAAAUGACCGGUCAAGGGCAGGCAGAGGUUGGUGAUCCAGUGCAAAGUCCAUAAGGUACAGAACGGCAGGCAGGCAGGCAGGCAGAGGUCAGUAAUCCAGUGCAAAGUCCAUAAGGUACAGAACGUCAGGCAGAAUGGUCAAAACCAGAAAACAGGGACUAACGCAAACCGGAGUACAGAAAAACACACUGGUAGGCUUGACAGGACAAACUGGCAACAGUCAAACAGAAAACACAGGUAUAAGUACACAGGUGAUAAUGGGGAAAAUGGGUGACACCUGGAGGGGGGUGGAGACAAGCAAAAGACAGGUGAAACAGAUCAGGGUGUGACAGGAGGUGACACUGAUAAUGAAGAUGGUUUGCCUAAGACUACCACAACAAUUACAUUGUCCGCUAAAUGUGUUUAAAUUGUAAAAGAAAGAAAGAAAAGUUAGGCUGUAAGAAAUCCUUUUAUUUAAUAAGACAAGGUGCUCUCUCCUCAUGGCACAACAGAAUCAUUCAGAUUGACCAAGGCACAGCAAAUGGAAACCAUUUUGUCUAGCUGAGGGAUGUCUCCUUUAAUAUCUGGAAAAGGGCGAAAUAGUAGAAGUGGAAACUGAUGCUGCUGCAGCAUUGCUCAUCUUCACAGUGGGAAUCUGGUCGACAUGGGCUUCUUGAUAGUGUGAAAUGUGUUGAUCAAAGGCCACAUUUUCCCUGUGCAAAGGAAAGAAAAUAAACAUAUUUGAUAUAGGCUAUAGGCCUAUUUAU
This is a long non-coding RNA of Oncorhynchus kisutch (coho salmon), 3208 nucleotides long. The record is from Ensembl. Lineage: Eukaryota; Metazoa; Chordata; Actinopteri; Salmoniformes; Salmonidae.